This 495-nucleotide ribosomal RNA is filed under the name uncultured bacterium. RNAcentral describes it as "partial 16S ribosomal RNA". It matches the Rfam family "Bacterial small subunit ribosomal RNA", at positions 28 to 507 of the family's 1533-position model. The record is from RNAcentral.
GACGAACGCUGGCGGCGUGCCUAAUACAUGCAAGUAGAACGCUGAAGGAGGAGCUUGCUUCUCUGGAUGAGUUGCGAACGGGUGAGUAACGCGUAGGUAACCUGCCUGGUAGCGGGGGAUAACUAUUGGAAACGAUAGCUAAUACCGCAUAAGAGUAGAUGUUGCAUGACAUUUGCUUAAAAGGUGCAAUUGCAUCACUACCAGAUGGACCUGCGUUGUAUUAGCUAGUUGGUGGGGUAACGGCUCACCAAGGCGACGAUACAUAGCCGACCUGAGAGGGUGAUCGGCCACACUGGAACUGAGACACGGCCCAGACUCCUACGGGAGGCAGCAGUAGGGAAUCUUCGGCAAUGGACGGAAGUCUGACCGAGCAACGCCGCGUGAGUGAAGAAGGUUGUCGGAUCGUAAAGCUCUGUUGUAAGAGAAGAACGAGUGUGAGAGUGGAAAGUUCACACUGUGACGGUAUCUUACCAGAAAGGGACGGCUAACUACGUG